GAUGAAGAACGUAGUGAAAUGCGAUAAGUAGUGUGAAUUGCAGAAUUCAGUGAAUCAUCGAAUCUUUGAACACACAUUGCGCCCCUUGGUAUUCCAUGGGGCAUGCCUGUUCGAGCGUCAUUUGUACCUUCAAGCUUUGCUUGGUGUUGGGUGUUUGUCCUGAGGGACUCGCCUUAAAGUAAUUGGCAGCCAGUGUUUUGGUUUUGAAGCGCAGCACAAGUCGCGAUUCAAGGCUAUACGCCAGCUUCCACAAGCCUUUUUCACUUUUGACCUCGGAUCAGGUAGGGAUACCCGCUGAACUUAAGCAUAUCAAUAAGCGGAGGA
This 324-nucleotide unclassified non-coding RNA is filed under the name soil metagenome. Its description in RNAcentral is "partial contains 5.8S ribosomal RNA, internal transcribed spacer 2, and large subunit ribosomal RNA". The stretch from base 1 to 120 matches the Rfam family "5.8S ribosomal RNA", at positions 35 to 154 of the family's 154-position model. The record is from RNAcentral.